GUUCCCGUGGUGCAGUGGUUAGCAUAUCGCUCUUAUAAUGCGGAGAUCGCGAGUUCAAUCCUCGCCGGGAACA
This 73-nucleotide transfer RNA is filed under the name Eutypa lata UCREL1. RNAcentral describes it as "tRNA-Ile (TAT) (tRNA-Ile-TAT-1-1)". It matches the Rfam family "tRNA". Rfam says of the family: Transfer RNA (tRNA) molecules are approximately 80 nucleotides in length. Their secondary structure includes four short double-helical elements and three loops (D, anti-codon, and T loops). Further hydrogen bonds mediate the characteristic L-shaped molecular structure. tRNAs have two regions of fundamental functional importance: the anti-codon, which is responsible for specific mRNA codon recognition, and the 3' end, to which the tRNAs corresponding amino acid is attached (by aminoacyl-tRNA synthetases). tRNAs cope with the degeneracy of the genetic code in two manners: having more than one tRNA (with a specific anti-codon) for a particular amino acid; and 'wobble' base-pairing, i.e. permitting non-standard base-pairing at the 3rd anti-codon position. Lineage: Eukaryota; Fungi; Ascomycota; Sordariomycetes; Xylariales; Diatrypaceae. The record is from RNAcentral.